Molecule: ribosomal RNA, 660 nt
Filed under: uncultured archaeon
Lineage: Archaea
Description: bacterial SSU rRNA
Rfam family: Archaeal small subunit ribosomal RNA
Source: RNAcentral
CAUACGGCUCACUAACACGUGGCCAACUUAACCUCGGGACAGGGACAACCCCGGGAAACUGGGGCUAAUCCCUGAUAGGUGAGGGGGCCUGGAACGGUUCCUCAUUUAAAGGGUGCUAGGGGCAUGCUUUCUAGUAUUGCCCGAGGACAGGGCCGCGCCUGAUCAGGUUGUUGGUGGGGCAAUGGCUCACCAAGCCUAUAACCAGUACGGGCUGUGAGAGCGGAAGCCCGGAGAUGGGCACUGAGACAAGGGCCCAGGCCCUACGGGGCGCAGCAGGUGCGAAAACUCCACAAUGCACGAAAGUGUGAUGGGGCCAUCCCGAGUGCUGUCCGCUGAGGACAGCUUUUCCAUGCUGUAAGGAAGCGUGGGAAUAAGGAGAGGGCAAGCCUGGUGUCAGCCGCCGCGGUAAUACCAGCUCUCCGAGUGGUGAGGAUGAUUAUUGGGCUUAAAGCGUCCGUAGCCGGCUUUUCAAGUCUUUCGUUAAAGCCAGCGAUCUAAUCGUUGGACUGCGGGAGAUACUGUUGGGCUAGGGGGCGGGAGAAGUCGACGGUAUUUCCGGGGUAGGAGUGAAAUCCUAUAAUCCCGGGAGGACCACCAGUGGCGAAGGCGGUCGACUAGAACGCGCUCGACGGUGAGGGACGAAAGCUGGGGGAGCGAACC